RNAcentral lists this ribosomal RNA (379 nucleotides) under uncultured cyanobacterium. RNAcentral's name for it is "bacterial SSU rRNA". It matches the Rfam family "Bacterial small subunit ribosomal RNA", at positions 376 to 770 of the family's 1533-position model. The record is from RNAcentral. Lineage: Bacteria; Bacillati; Cyanobacteriota.
CGAAAGCCUGACGGAGCAAGACCGCGUGAGGGAGGAAGGCUCUUGGGUUGUAAACCUCUUUUCUCAGGGAAGAAGCUCUGACGGUACCUGAGGAAUCAGCCUCGGCUAACUCCGUGCCAGCAGCCGCGGUAAUACGGAGGAGGCAAGCGUUAUCCGGAAUUAUUGGGCGUAAAGCGUCCGCAGGUGGCGAUUCAAGUCUGCUGUCAAAGCACGGGGCUUAACUCCGUUAAGGCAGUGGAAACUGACCCACUCGAGGGUGGUAGGGGUAGAGGGAAUUCCCAGUGUAGCGGUGAAAUGCGUAGAUAUCGGGAAGAACACCAGUGGCGAAGGCGCUCUACUGGGCCGCGACUGACGCUGAGGGACGAAAGCUAGGGGAGCG